Oncorhynchus keta (chum salmon) is the source of this 150-nucleotide long non-coding RNA. RefSeq lists it as uncharacterized. The transcript is spliced from 3 exons. The record is from RefSeq and is a predicted model, not a curated record. Lineage: Eukaryota; Metazoa; Chordata; Actinopteri; Salmoniformes; Salmonidae.
AAAUAGCACCAUAUUCCCUAUAGAUCAGGUCAAAUGGCACCCUAUUCCCUAGACCAGGUCAAAUGGCACCCUAUUCCCUAUAGACCAGGUCAAAUGGCACCAUAUUCCUUAUAGACCAGGUCAAAUGACACCCUAUUCCCUAUAGACCAG